GAUGAACGCUGGCGGCGUGCCUAAUACAUGCAAGUCGAGCGAACGGACGAGAAGCUUGCUUCUCUGAUGUUAGCGGCGGACGGGUGAGUAACACGUGGAUAACCUACCUAUAAGACUGGGAUAACUUCGGGAAACCGGAUCUAAUACCGGAUGAUAUUUUGAACCGCAUUGUUCAAAAGUGAAAGACGGUCUUGCUGUCACUUAUAGAUGGAUCCGCGCUGCAUUAGCUAGUUGGUAAGGUAACGGCUUACCAAGGCAACGAUGCAUAGCCGACCUGAGAGGGUGAUCGGCCAAACUGGAACUGAGACACGGUCCAGACUCCUACGGGAGGCAGCAGUAGGGAAUCUUCCGCAAAGGGCGAAAGCCUGACGGAGCAACGCCGCGUGAGUGAUGAAGGUCUUCGGAUCGUAAAACUCUGUUAUUAGGGAAGAACAUAUGUGUAAGUAACUGUGCACAUCUUGACGGUACCUAAUCAGAAAGCCACGGCUAACUACGUG
Molecule: ribosomal RNA, 497 nt
Filed under: uncultured bacterium
Lineage: Bacteria
Description: partial 16S ribosomal RNA
Rfam family: Bacterial small subunit ribosomal RNA
Source: RNAcentral